UACGUAGGGUGCAGGCGUUAAUCGGAAUUACUGGGCGUAAAGCGUGCGCAGGCGGUUUGUUAAGACAGAUGUGAAAUCCCCGGGCUUAACCUGGGAACUGCGUUUGUAACUGGCAAGCUAGAGUGUGGCAGAGGGGGGUGGAAUUCCAAGUGUAGCAGUGAAAUGCGUAGAUAUUUGGAGGAACACCAAUGGCGAAGGCAGCCCCCUGGGUUAACACUGACGCUCAUGCACGAAAGCGUGGGGAGCAAGCAGG
This 253-nucleotide ribosomal RNA is filed under the name uncultured bacterium. RNAcentral's name for it is "partial 16S ribosomal RNA". It matches the Rfam family "Bacterial small subunit ribosomal RNA", at positions 524 to 776 of the family's 1533-position model. The record is from RNAcentral.